UACGUAGGGUGCAAGCGUUAAUCGGAAUUACUGGGCGUAAAGCGUGCGCAGGCGGUCCCAUAAGACAGAUGUGAAAUCCCCGGGCUCAACCUGGAACUGCAUUUGCGACUGUGGGGCUAGAGUACGGUAGAGGGGGAUGGAAUUCCGCGUGUAGCAGUGAAAUGCGUAGAUAUGCGGAGGAACACCGAUGGCGAAGGCAAUCCCCUGGACCUGUACUGACGCUCAUGCACGAAAGCGUGGGGAGCAAACAGG
RNAcentral lists this ribosomal RNA (252 nucleotides) under uncultured bacterium. RNAcentral's name for it is "partial 16S ribosomal RNA". It matches the Rfam family "Bacterial small subunit ribosomal RNA", at positions 524 to 776 of the family's 1533-position model. The record is from RNAcentral.